GAGUAGAAGAAGGAGAUGGAUAAUGGAGGAGUAAGCAUGUCUUAUGAAUUCAAAUGAUCAAUGGUCCUGAUUGGGAAACUAAAUGUUUUAUGCUCAAUUGGAAAAGGACUUCACGUUCUGGUGGUUUUUUGUCCUUCUGUUGCUUAUGCCUGACUGAGUAUGUUUGAAACUACAUGAAGUGAGUUGGGAAAGUCAUAUGUCUUACCCCUGUUGAUCCUGAAAUUGGAUUAUACCUGCACAGUUGUGGAUUAUGAAACUGUUUUACAUCAUCUAUGUGAUUUUGGAUCAACAAUAAGAUGGACACUGGGAAGAUGUGGAAUUUGUAUUCUUUGUUCUGAGAUUUCCUGGACAUUGACUUUGAGAAAGUGAUCAAUGAACUUUCAACGUGAUUAUCUUUGGCAUCUCUCCUUAGUCAUUA
Molecule: non-coding RNA, 418 nt
Organism: Pimephales promelas (fathead minnow)
Lineage: Eukaryota; Metazoa; Chordata; Actinopteri; Cypriniformes; Leuciscidae
Source: RefSeq, a predicted model, not a curated record